AACCUAGCACACCUGCGGUGUGUACCUGCGGAGGGAUCAUUACCGAGUUUACAACUCCCAAACCCCUGUGAACAUACCUAUACGUUGCCUCGGCGGAUCAGCCCGCGCCCCGUAAAACGGGACGGCCCGCCCGAGGACCCCUAAACUCUGUUUUUAGUGGAACUUCUGAGUAAAACAAACAAAUAAAUCAAAACUUUUAGCAACGGAUCU
RNAcentral lists this unclassified non-coding RNA (210 nucleotides) under soil metagenome. RNAcentral describes it as "partial contains 5.8S ribosomal RNA, internal transcribed spacer 2, and large subunit ribosomal RNA". The record is from RNAcentral.